GGAGUCUGGUCCGUGUCUCAGUCCCAAUGUGGCCGUUCAACCUCUCAGUCCGGCUACUGAUCGUCGACUUGGUGGGCCGUUACCUCACCAACUAUCUAAUCAGACGCGAGCCCAUCUUUCAGCGAUAAAUCUUUGGUUGCAUGGAGAUGCCUCCUCGCAACGUUAUGCGGUAUUAGCAGUCGUUUCCAACUGUUGUCCCCCCUCUGAAAGGCAGGUUGCUCACGUGUUACUCACCCGUCCGCCACUAAGUUAAGAAAGCAAGCUCUCUUAACUCCGUUCGACUUGCAUGUGUUAGGCGCGCCGCCAGCGUUCGUC
Molecule: ribosomal RNA, 315 nt
Filed under: uncultured Oscillospiraceae bacterium
Lineage: Bacteria; Bacillati; Bacillota; Clostridia; Eubacteriales; Oscillospiraceae
Description: partial 16S ribosomal RNA
Source: RNAcentral